Molecule: long non-coding RNA, 7501 nt
Organism: Monodelphis domestica (gray short-tailed opossum)
Lineage: Eukaryota; Metazoa; Chordata; Mammalia; Didelphimorphia; Didelphidae
Source: RefSeq, a predicted model, not a curated record
GAGCGCGCCACCUGCGGUUGGCCGCAGCUGCCAAUCAGGGGGUUCUGACGGAGUGGACCAGCUGGGUCCGCCCCUGGAGGGGGGUCGGGGGUCUGCAGGCCCCCAUCCAGUGGGGGGACUAGAGUGACUAGCUAAUUUGAUAAACUCAUUCUCAAUAAAUCAGCAGAGGAGGAUCUGCGGUGGGAACUGUGCGGACCCGUUUGCACAGCGGCGGCGGCAGACCCUACAGCUCUGCGGACCCCAUCUCCCAGAGCCCGAGACCUCAGCCUGGCUGUUCAGGGAACCUUUGGGCAGCUGUUCUGGGGCCCUAGGCCGCUUAUUCCUGCGCUAAGGGACAAAUCUAUGGAUUGAACGUACCCAAGCAGCUGAUUUGGAAAAGGAUUUCAUGUUGGUAACCAGUAAUUUCCUAUAUAAAGAGUGUCAAGAGGAUGUAACUUGUUCCUUCUAGCAGAAAUGACAUGCUGGUCAUUGAAUAAGGAUCUCAUAUUCAGAGAACUGACAUCUACAUUAGUAAUUUUCUUUUUUAUUUGGAUUUUUCUGAUGUCUUUUUAAUUUCUCUUACCAAUUGAUUCAUAUACCUCAUAACUCAGCCAUGCAUCCCUAAGUGAUCCAUGUUUUUCAAUUACUCUUUUAAUGGGGAAAUGUAAAAAUAUUAUUAUUUUAAAUUGCAAAGUUUAAAUUCCUUUUGAGAAGAAUUUUAGGUAAAGAAACAUGAUACCUCUCCAAAUCCAGAAACUGAACUGCUUGGAGAAGACACCACAAAGAUGCCUCUAGACCACAAGCUGCACGAGAAGAUCAAGAAUGAACUUUGGGUGUGGUUGAUUGAACAUUUAUUUGUAUCUAUACUUUCAUGCCAAAGGCGACUGCUCCCUAACUGUCUUUUUGUCAAUGCAUCCAGCAAUUAUUGUUUUGUUUUUUUUCCCCUCUUAUCCUCAAAUUAUUGUAAUCUUUAAGUUGAAGAUGUUUUCAUGAUCCUUUGGGAAAAAACCUUUUCCCCAGAGGAUCAUACGAAGAAACGUAAAAAUGGAGAUUUGAACCCUGGACUUCAAUUCCCAGGAGUCCUUGGUAGCUCCCAGAGUUCCCCAUAAUCUCAGGCGAGGAGAGAGGGGUUUUUAAAAUGGACUCCGCCUUCUUCUCUCUCUUUCUCUUCCUUCUUGCGCUUCCAAGCACACAUCUCUCUCUGGGCUUCCGCGUCUGGGCACAUGCGGCUCUACCAGGCAGGAUGUAGAGUGAGUAACUGUGAAUGGGCUCUCUGGGCCUAGACAUGUGCUUUCUUAUUUUGUAUUUUCUUUAUAUUUUUAAUCUUUAAUAAACCUCAUAAAAUUAUAAUACUUGUAGCAGAGAAACUAAAUUUUAACUGCUACAAUUAUUAAUUAUUGAUGGUCUAAAAACUGGAUUCAAAUGGAACCCUAUGUCCCCUUUCCUACCUCUAUGUCACCACUACUACAGAAAAGAAGGGGGAUACAUAGAACCAGUGCCAUUUUGUACUUUUCUUUGGUCAUGGUUUGUCAUUCAAAGCUUACUGGGAAUGAAAUUCCUCUGUACUUAGUAGGGUUGGUCCUUAGAAAGUAGAUACAGUCCAUUGUUAGAAUCACACUCAAGGCCUUUCUUACAUGGCAGAACCUGCUAGAGCUUGUACCCUGCUGGCAUAGCCUAUUAGAAUGUAUGGUCACCCAUCUUCCAUUAUGAUGAAUUGGAGGACUAGGUGAAGAAAAUAAAGCCCGUGCACUAAUAAUGAUGAUAAUACAUAGAUAACAUUUAUAGAGAACCUACUAUGUGUGAGGUACAGUGCUAAGCAUUUUAUAAAUAUCAUAUCAUUUCAUCCUCACAUUGACUCUGGGAGGUUGAUGUUAUAUUAUUAAUCCUCAUUUUACAGAAAAGGAAAUGGAGGCAGACAAGGAUUAAAUUAUUUGCUCAGAUUUACAAAGCUAGGAAGCAACUGAGGCUGAAUUUGAAUCAGGUCUUCUUUACUCCAAGCCUAGCACUCUUGUCCACUGAGCUACCUAGUUUCCCCAAAUGUUUUAAGUAUAUCCAAAUAAUGGCAAAACUCUAGACUUUUGGCACAUUGAAUGGACCCUGUAUAAAGUAUUUAAGGGAAGACAUAAAGGCAAAAUUCCCAAAGCUUAGCACAUAGUAAUCAUUUAACAAAUACCAGUUAAUAUGAGAUAAGAAGAUCUAGAUGGGUUAUAAUAUAUGAGGUUAAAAAGAGGAUCAACACUGUUGAGAUCAUAGCUCUAUGGAAGCAUUAUAAAGGGAGACAUUAUGCUGAAUAUCCCUCACCAGUCUCAGCUCCUUCUAAGCUUUAGAGAGAUUAAGCUGAUUCUUCUAGGACUAUGUCAUGCAUCUGAAUUCAUCCUUGGUCUCCUGCUCUUACUUUCACUUCCCAUACUUAUCCUUUUAAAAAACUGGUUGGCUGGUGAGCUCCUGGUGCAUCCACAUCAGUCUCUUUAGAUAGCUUUCCUUUGAACAGCUCUCCAAGAUACCCAUCAUUUCCUCCCCAGCAAUCAAUUUCUCCUAAUUACUAAGAAUAAAAUCCAAAACAAAAAUUCCUCUAGGCACUUCCUCUGUCUUUCGAAGGAUGGAUGACAUUAUCAGGAAGGCAUUCUUAGUUACUCUCUUUUUGUCUGAUAGAAAAAGAGAGCCAACCUAUAGUUGAAUAACCUAAGGUCCUAUUCAUUAUGCCAGAUGUGUUUCCCAAACUUUCUUCUCUUUUUGCCUUCUUUCUUUGUGCUCUGGAAGAAAUACAAACGACAGUAUUCCUUUAGUUUGUCCUUUCAUUGAUCUUUGCCCUAAUGAUUGCUUCCUGGAUAUCCUCAAAUGAAUUGAAUCUUCUUAAUAAAUAGUGUUUUCUCUUUCCCUUUUCAUCCAUCCUGCUCAUUUUAGAUAAAUUAUACCCUUCCAGAAUGAUAUUCUCACCCAGGGUAUCAUCCCACCAAAUCUUAGUGAGAACUAUGAAGCUGAAUUUUUCUCUGGAGGUUAGUAUCUAUUUUCUUUUGAAAGUUUUGUUGAGGCCCCAAUAAUUGCUAUCACUUUCCAACUGCAUACACACCAAUAGUGCACUCACUUGUGAUAGACUAGAAAAGAUAGAUAGAAUGCUUAUUAAACACAUAUUAUGUGCCAGACACUGGGGCAAAUACUAGGGAUACAAGUACAAGUAAACAAGAUAGUUCCUGCCUUCAGAGAGCUUAUAUUCUAGUGCAGGAAGAUAGUAGAUAAAGGGGGAUUAGAAGGAAGAGGUGACUACACUGCAGCAUGAUUUGGAGCUAGUGAGAGUACAGCCAGACAAGCUAAAUCAACACAAUUGCCAUGUCAGGAAACAUACGCCACAUCCCGUACCUAUUGUCUGCCAUCUUUCUGCUAAGAGGCAUGAAGGAUAUUUUAAGGAAGAGAGAAACUUGGGUAAGUCUAUAGGUGGCAAGGAAAACACCAAUAUAAUGGAGAGGUUGAUGAUGGGAGAAAAGGGGGGAGGUAUGAUUAAUAGGACAAACUCAUGAAGGAUAUAGAAGGGAAUGAGAUUAAGGGUCCAAGUAGAAUCCAUGAAGUUUUCUGAAGUCAUGAUUGGUCAUUCACAGUAGUCUUUAUUUCAUUUUGCUGGUUACUGCUAGUUUACUCAUUUGUGUAUAAACAUUUAAGGUCAUUCAAUUUUGUUCACCUGGCUUCUUUGGGGAGUUUUAUUGGAUCUACCACAAAAUUUGUUUUAUCUAAUUUCAACUAGGUUUUCAUUGCUAUGUGGCAAUUCUGCUUAUCCUCCCAUGAUCCUCCAUCCAUGUUUCCUCAUCUGCAGCUGCUCUAAUACUUCUCUUACAGGCUCCCUAUAUAAUUCCAAUCCCUCUUAAAAUAUUUGGCUUCACUUACUGUGCUAAGAAAAGCAAGAUCCCACCUGUGAUGGGCUCCCUCAUCUCCCCUACCCCAUACCUCUCUUUUGCAUGAACAAUCUUCAAGGAGAGUACCCUUUUUUGUCAAGGCCAGCAACUGUCCUUGGGCACUCAACCCCAUACAUUUCUGUAUCUUUCUAGGACUUUUCCCCAGGAAUAAUAACAAUAAUGGCUAGUGUCUAUAUAAUACAACUCUGAGAAGUGUUAUUAUUAUCCUAAUUUUACAGAUGAGGAAACUAAGGCAGAGAGUAAUUAAGUGACUUGCUCAGGGACACACAGCUAAUAAGGUCAGAUCUGAACAGAGGUCACUGUCUUAAUUUUCAAACUUCCAAAGCUCUCUUCUUUACCGCCCACUCACUUCUUGGUGGUGGUGGUGUUUUUCAUCUACAGUUCCUCUAUGUAUCCCCUAUAAACUUCCUUUCCCAUCAUCAAAUCUUGCCACCAUGGAACAAAGAAAUGCAACGAAACAAAAUCAAUCAGCAAAGCCACUACAUAUGACCCUAGAUGCAACAUUUCACAUCAGUAAUAGCCUACCUCUCUGCCAAGAGGAGGAGAGAUGUGUUUAUCCUCUCUUCUCUAGAACCAAGAUUAGUUAUUGCAAUUCACCUGCUUUUUAGAGUUGUUUUCAUUUGCUUUACUGGAGUCACUGGGUAUGUUGCUCCCGUGGGUCUGCUUUCAUUGCUCUGUACCACUUCAUAUAAGUCUUCCCAUGUUUCGAAGAAUUCCCCAUAGUAAUUGUUUCUUAUGGCAUCGUAUUAUUCCAUUCCUUUCCAUCAGCCAGUCAAAAAACAUUAAGUGCUUAUUGUGUUCUACGUCUGCUAAAUGUAACACAAUCUGUUUAGCCAUUCCCUAAUAAUGGACACCCACCUUGUUCCCAAUUUUUUGUCACCUCAGAGUGGUGCAUAUGGGACCCUUCUUUCUGCUUUUGACUUCCUUGGGGGAUAUGGGCAGCCAUGGAAUUGGUGGCUCAAAAGUUUUAGUUGCAUAAUUCCAGGUUAUUUUCCAGAAUGGAUGUACUACUUUACUGAGCCCACCCACUCAUUUCCCAUCCACCUAAUGAUCAGGCUUCCCAGCCUCCACUUUUCUGGUCUGAAAGGAUCUUGGAAUAAAAGGAGACCUGACAGGUUACUGAUAGACCAUCUAUCUAGUCUAACUAUGACUUUCUAAAGUCUUUACUGAUGGUCUCCUAAACACCAAAUCUAGUGGCUUUUUCUCAGUCCUCAUCCUCUUUGUUAUUCAGUUGUAUCCGACUCUUUGUGACCCCAAUUGGAGUUUUUUUGGCAAAGAGAUUGGAGUGAUUAGCCAUUUCCUUCUCUGGCUCAUUUUACAGAUGAGGAAACUGAGACAAAUAGGACCAAGUGACUUGCUCAGGGUCACAGAACUAGUGUCUGAGGUCAUAUCUGAAGAUGUGUCUUGACUCUAAGCUCAGCACUCUAUCCACUAUGCCACCUAGCCGCCCAUCCUCCAUUACCUCUCAAACUUUUGAGACUAUUUACCAUUGCCUGCUCCUGAAUACACUCUCUUCACUUGAAUUCUAGUUCAUUGCCUUCUCCUCAUUCUCCUCCUUGACUUUGACUCUUCAGUCUCCUUAUGUUGAAUCAUCAUCCCUUCAUUAUUCCCUAAGUAUGGGUGUCCCCCAAAGCUCAUCCUGGCCCCCUACUCUUCCCCCUUUACAUAUACGCUCUAUAUACUUUUAUAUUAUCCUUCGAGAUCAGAUGGAGAGAUACAGGCUAAGUAAUGGUAUUAUUCGUUUUAUUCAGGACUAGUGAAUGACUAGACCCAGAGAGCAUGGUUCCAUGCCAAUGUUGAAGAAGGUCUCUAGUGUUUACUCUCCCUGGGCUCUUAUUAUUUUUGUUAAUGACUGGAAUAUCCUUUAGCACAUACUUUAUCAUUGUCCAUUUGAUAACUGGAAGAAGUUCUAGAAUAUAUAGGGCACCCAACAGGCCAACAGGCCUACCCACAAACUAAUUCUCAGAAAAAAGACCCAUUGUAGUUCUUCAGGCUUUCAAGGCAUUUCAGCUGAUCCUUAAGUUUUCUACUCAAAGAAGACUUCUUGUCACCUCCUAGAAGUCCCUCGGGUUUUCAUUUGGCAUAAGACACAUUUGUUGGCUUAAAGAAAUCAUUUAACUCAGCCGACAUCUUAAUUUUCCUAGAUCCUCAGAAACAACUCAUUGUAAAGACCAAUGUUUCAUGUCCACUUGGGGCUAUCUUCUCACCUGGCUUUCCUCGAUAUCUUGGCUUCAUGUACUUUUCUCUCAGGUCGACUGCCAGAAUGGUCAUGAUGUCAGAGAGUAACUAAUUCCAAGAGGUAAAACUUCAUAUAAGGAAUGGAGGCUCCAUCUUGAAGAAGUACAGAAUCUCCUUGUUCCAUACUACCACCUAGAAUUUUCUGGCAACUCAAUCAGUGCCCUGUGGUGCCAGGGCAGUAUCAUCACAGAUCUGUCCCUUUCCAGAGAUAUGAUGCUAUUUAGGCAAUGGUAGAGGGCUGAUCAAGACAAUGCCCUUCCUCUCCUAGGCUGGAACAAUCUAGCACAAAUUUAGAGAUAAAGAUGCCCCACACAUACAAAUACACACUAUUGCUGAGAUUUAUUCCUAGAAAGAAAGCUUUGGGUUUCAUACUCUCCCCCCCACAUCCCCCACCAGCACCUCAGUUUGGUCUCAUUUUUGGACUGUGCUGUGGGUAGUCCUCCAGAGAAAGACCCACAUUUCCAUGGAAUAACCAUCCUAAUGUGCAAACAGGGCUUAUGAACCCAACCCCUAAAAAGCAUCUCAGAUCCUGUGCCAACUGCCAUUAAGAUGACUAGAGAUUACUCUCAAUAGAAUGUAAGCUCCUUGAGAACAGAGACUAUUUUGUGCUUGUCUAGAUUUUUUUCAGCAGCAAUUACAGUCCGUAUUCAAGUAAAGACUUGUUGAAUUGAAUAUAAGUGAGAUUCUAUCCUGUCUUCAACUCUUGCUUGGCUUCCCACGGUCUUUAAAAGGAAACUCAAACAUCAGAACCUAUUAUGUGAAUCUCCCAAAACAUCCAAAAUGGUAGCAGGUUCUAUCACAAAAAUGAAAAGGAAAUCAUUUCCACUUCUGUACCUUUGCUAAUAUCAUCUCUCAUGCCUGGAGCACCAUCUUAGCCCAUUUAUAUACUGAUUGAUUUAGUCACCAAUUUACUUAUUUACUCCACAAAAAGCUUGCUUUGUACCUGAAGCUCUGCCUGAUUUCAACACCACAGAAAAAGAUGCUUGUACCAGGAUAAGCUCAUCACUUCCAAUCUCACCACCAAGCUGUUAAAUCAAGCCCUGAUAGACAGGGCUUCCUUCAACUUCCUCUUCCCUCUUUUUGGAGGGAUUGAGUGCCAAACUCCUCCCAACGCCUUCCUUUGUAAAGAGGAAAAACUUGACUGACUCGUAGCUCACUCUUCUUUGCAUCUGCUGCUCAGUCAACACCACUGAACAAAUGCUCCAUCUCUCCCUCCAUUCACCUGCUUUCAUGCCUCCUUUUGUGUGUUGUCUCCCCCUUUAGAUUGUAAGCUCCUUUAGGGCAGGGGCUGUCUUUAUGUUUAGUAAUUGUAUCCCCAGCACUUAGCAUGUGCCUGGUAUAUAGUAGGCACUUAAUAAAUGAUUAUUGGAUCUAUUGGA